This 170-nucleotide ribosomal RNA is filed under the name uncultured bacterium. RNAcentral's name for it is "partial 16S ribosomal RNA". It matches the Rfam family "Bacterial small subunit ribosomal RNA", at positions 338 to 524 of the family's 1533-position model. The record is from RNAcentral.
CCUACGGGAGGCAGCAGUAGGGAAUUUUGUGCAAUGGGCGAAAGCCUGACGCAGCAACACCGCGUGGGGGAUGACUCCUUUUGGGGUGUAAACUCCUGUCAGUGGGGACGAAGCCUGACGGUACCCACAGAGGAAGCAUCGGCUAACUACGUGCCAGCAGCCGCGGUAAU